GCCCAGCCGUAAACAAUUAACUUACACUAAUAAACGCCAGGGAACUACGAGCUAUGCUUAAAACCCAAAGGACUUGACGGUGUCCCAUACCAACUAGAGGAGCCUGUUCUAUAAUCGAUGAUCCCCGCUAUACCUAACCAUCCCUUGCUUUAUCAGCCUGUAUACCUCCGUCAUAAGCCUACCAUGUGAACGUCAACAGUGGGCCCAAUGGUUUGUAUAACCAAAAUGCCAGGUCAAGGUGCAGCUCACGGAAUGGUAAGUAAUGGGCUACAAUUUCUAAUCUAGAACAAACGGAAAGCUAUGUGAAAUCACAGCCUAAAGGUGGAUUUAGUAGUAAAAAGAAAAUAGAGUGUUCUUUUUAACCCGGCCCUGGGACACGUACACACCGCCCGUCACCCUNUGCAGUCAA
Molecule: ribosomal RNA, 409 nt
Filed under: Amolops ricketti (Chinese sucker frog)
Lineage: Eukaryota; Metazoa; Chordata; Amphibia; Anura; Ranidae
Description: partial 12S ribosomal RNA
Rfam family: Bacterial small subunit ribosomal RNA
Source: RNAcentral